GAUGAACGCUGGCGGCGUGCCUAAUACAUGCAAGUCGAGCGAACGGACGAGAAGCUUGCUUCUCUGAUGUUAGCGGCGGACGGGUGAGUAACACGUGGAUAACCUACCUAUAAGACUGGGAUAACUUCGGGAAACCGGAGCUAAUACCGGAUAAUAUUUUGAACCGCAUGGUUCAAAAGUGAAAGACGGUCUUGCUGUCACUUAUAAAUGGAUCCGCGCUGCAUUAGCUAGUUGGUAAGGUAACGGCUUACCAAGGCAACGAUGCAUAGCCGACCUGAGAGGGUGAUCGGCCACACUGGAACUGAGACACGGUCCAGACUCCUACGGGAGGCAGCAGUAGGGAAUCUUCCGCAAUGGGCGAAAGCCUGACGGGGCAACGCCGCGUGAGUGAUGAAGGUCUUCGGAUCGUAAAACUCUGUUAUUAGGGAAGAACAUAUGUGUAAGUAACUGUGCACAUCUUGACGGUACCUAAUCAGAAAGCCACGGCUAACUACGUG
RNAcentral lists this ribosomal RNA (497 nucleotides) under uncultured bacterium. Its description in RNAcentral is "partial 16S ribosomal RNA". It matches the Rfam family "Bacterial small subunit ribosomal RNA", at positions 28 to 507 of the family's 1533-position model. The record is from RNAcentral.